Molecule: ribosomal RNA, 409 nt
Filed under: Actinomycetes bacterium
Lineage: Bacteria; Bacillati; Actinomycetota; Actinomycetes
Description: Actinobacteria bacterium partial 16S ribosomal RNA
Rfam family: Bacterial small subunit ribosomal RNA
Source: RNAcentral
UGGGGAAUAUUGCACAAUGGGCGGAAGCCUGAUGCAGCGACGCCGCGUGGGGGAUGAAGGCCUUCGGGUUGUAAACUCCUUUCGACAGGGACGAAGCUUUUGUGACGGUACCUGUAUAAGAAGCACCGGCUAACUACGUGCCAGCAGCCGCGGUAAUACGGAGGGUGCGAGCGUUGUUCGGAAUUACUGGGCGUAAAGAGCUCGUAGGUGGUGUGUCGCGUCGUCUGUGAAAUUCCGGGGCUUAACUCCGGGCGUGCAGGCGUUACGGGCUGACUUGAGUGCUGUAGGGGAGACUGGAAUUCCUGGUGUAGCGGUGAAAUGCGCAGAUAUCUGGAGGAACACCGAUGGCGAAGGCAGGUCUCUGGGCAGUAACUGACGCUGAGGAGCGAAAGCAUGGGUAGCGAACAGG